GGGGAAUUAGCUCAAUUGGUAGAGCACCUGCUUUGCACGCAGGGGGUUAGCGGUUCGAGUCCGCUAUUCUCCA
RNAcentral lists this transfer RNA (73 nucleotides) under Synechococcus phage S-SM1. It matches the Rfam family "tRNA". Rfam says of the family: Transfer RNA (tRNA) molecules are approximately 80 nucleotides in length. Lineage: Duplodnaviria; Heunggongvirae; Uroviricota; Caudoviricetes; Pantevenvirales; Kyanoviridae. The record is from Rfam by way of RNAcentral.